RNAcentral lists this ribosomal RNA (354 nucleotides) under uncultured Mucor. RNAcentral describes it as "SSU rRNA". It matches the Rfam family "Eukaryotic small subunit ribosomal RNA", at positions 20 to 370 of the family's 1831-position model. The record is from RNAcentral. Lineage: Eukaryota; Fungi; Mucoromycota; Mucoromycetes; Mucorales; Mucoraceae.
GUAGUCAUAUGCUUGUCUCAAAGAUUAAGCCAUGCAUGUCUAAGUAUAAGCAACUCGUACUGUGAAACUGCGAAUGGCUCAUUAAAUCAGUUAUGAUCUACGUGACAUAUUCUUUACUACUUGGAUAACCGUGGUAAUUCUAGAGCUAAUACAUGCAAAAAAACCCUGACUUACGAAAGGGUGCACUUAUUAGAUAAAGCCAACGCUGGGUAAAACCAGUUUCCCUUGGUGAUUCAUAAUAAUUUAGCGGAUCGCAUGGCCUUGUGCUAGCGACAGUCCACUCGAUUUUCUGCCCUAUCAUGGUUGAGAUUGUAAGAUAGAGGCUUACAAUGCCUACAACGGGUAACGGGGAAU